Molecule: ribosomal RNA, 484 nt
Filed under: uncultured bacterium
Lineage: Bacteria
Description: partial 16S ribosomal RNA
Rfam family: Bacterial small subunit ribosomal RNA
Source: RNAcentral
AUUGAACGCUGGCGGCAGGCCUAACACAUGCAAGUCGAGCGGAUGAAGGGAGCUUGCUCCUGGAUUCAGCGGCGGACGGGUGCGUAAUGCCUAGGAAUCUGCCUGGUAGUGGGGGAUAACGUCCGGAAACGGGCGCUAAUACCGCAUACGUCCUGAGGGAGAAAGUGGGGGAUCUUCGGACCUCACGCUAUCAGAUGAGCCUAGGUCGGAUUAGCUAGUUGGUGGGGUAAAGGCCUACCAAGGCGACGAUCCGUAACUGGUCUGAGAGGAUGAUCAGUCACACUGGAACUGGGACACGGUCCAGACUCCUACGGGAGGCAGCAGUGGGGAAUAUUGGACAAUGGGCAAAAACCUGAUCCAGCCGUGCCGCGUGUGUGAAGAAGGUCUUCGGAUUGUAAAGCACUUUAAGUUGGGAGGAAGGGCAGUAAGUUAAUACCUUGCUGUUUUGACGUUACCAACAGAAUAAGCACCGGCUAACUUCGUG